RNAcentral lists this ribosomal RNA (529 nucleotides) under uncultured bacterium. Its description in RNAcentral is "bacterial SSU rRNA". It matches the Rfam family "Bacterial small subunit ribosomal RNA", at positions 17 to 518 of the family's 1533-position model. The record is from RNAcentral.
UCCUGGCUUAGGACGAACGCUGGCGGCGUGCCUAAUACAUGCAAGUCGAACGGUCUUUCUAUGGAAGCUUGCUUCCACUGAGAAGAUAGUGGCGAACGGGUGAGUAACACUGGGGUAACCUGCCCAUAAGAGGGGGGAUAACAUCCGGAAACGGGUGCUAAUACCGCAUAGUUUUCUUGAUCGCAUGAUUGAGAAAGGAAAGACGGCCUUUGUGCUGUCGCUUAUGGAUGGACCCGCGGCGUAUUAGUUAGUUGGUGAGGUAACGGCUCACCAAGACGAUGAUACGUAGCCGACCUGAGAGGGUGAUCGGCCACAUUGGGACUGAGACACGGCCCAAACUCCUACGGGAGGCAGCAGUAGGGAAUCUUCCGCAAUGGACGAAAGUCUGACGGAGCAACGCCGCGUGAGUGAAAGAAGGUUUUCGGAUCGUAAAACUCUGUUGUCAGAGAAGAACAAGUUGGAGAGUAACUGCUCCAGCCUUGACGGUAUCUGACCGGAAAGCCACGGCUAACUACGUGCCAGCCGCCGC